This 717-nucleotide ribosomal RNA is filed under the name Neoboletus aff. brunneissimus 1D8. Its description in RNAcentral is "eukaryotic LSU rRNA". The stretch from base 102 to 717 matches the Rfam family "Eukaryotic large subunit ribosomal RNA", at positions 1 to 617 of the family's 3401-position model. Lineage: Eukaryota; Fungi; Basidiomycota; Agaricomycetes; Boletales; Boletaceae. The record is from RNAcentral.
CCCUAGGCUAGCCCUUCAGGUGUCGCUUAGCUACUAGUCGGCCGUGAGGCUGACGAACGUUGGGCGAGCCACGCUUGGCAGGGCUUGUCUGUUCCGAAACUUGACCUCAAAUCAGGUAGGACUACCCGCUGAACUUAAGCAUAUCAAUAAGCGGAGGAAAAGAAACUAACGAGGAUUCCCCUAGUAACUGCGAGUGAAGCGGGAAGAGCUCAAAUUUCGAAUCUGGCGGUCUUCUGGCCGUCCGAGUUGUAAUCUAGAGAAGCGUUUUCCGCGCUGGACCGUGUAUAAGUCUCCUGGAAGGGAGCGUCGUAGAGGGUGAGAAUCCCGUCUUUGACACGGACUACCAGGGCUAUGUGAUGCGCUCUCGACGAGUCGAGUUGUUUGGGAAUGCAGCUCAAAACGGGUGGUAAAUUCCAUCUAAAGCUAAAUACAGGCGAGAGACCGAUAGCGAACAAGUACCGUGAGGGAAAGAUGAAAAGAACUUUGGAAAGAGAGUUAAACAGUACGUGAAAUUGCUGAAAGGGAAACGCUUGAUGUCAGUCGCGUCGGCCGGGGAUCAACCUUGCUUCUCGCUGGGUGUACUUCUCGGUCGACGGGUCAGCAUCGGUUUCGGUCGCCGUACAAGGGCGAGGGGAACGUGGCACUUACUUCGGGGUGUGUUAUAGCCUUUCGUCGUAUGCGGCGGUCGGGACCGGAGGAACUCAGCACGGCUUCGGU